AUGCCCCUUUGCCCGACAGGUGUGGCACGCGAUCCUCUCAUGGUUGCGCCUCUCCUGCCCGCCGCCCAACAACGACACCACACUUCACGAUUGGUGGCGAAUGGCAAGACAGAACACGCCCAAGCCUAUGCACAAGGGUCUUGCCUCCGCUACCCUGCUCGUGCCAUGGAUGAUUUGGAAGCAUCGCAAUGGCUGCGUCUUCGAGGGUGCUCGCCCUUCGACCACCUCUCUGAUCGCUGCGAUCAAAGACGAGGCUGCACUUUGGGCCAGAGCAGGGGCCCUAGGGCUAUGCGCCAUUCUACCACAAACCUGGGAUGUUCACUAAUGUGCCUGUACUUGCCUUGUAACCAGACUCCUAGGAGGAUUGUACCAAAUUCCUUCUUUUCAAUACAAUGA
Molecule: ribosomal RNA, 396 nt
Filed under: Triticum aestivum (bread wheat)
Lineage: Eukaryota; Viridiplantae; Streptophyta; Magnoliopsida; Poales; Poaceae
Description: partial small subunit ribosomal RNA
Source: RNAcentral